ACUUCUUCUCGCACCACCCGGAGAGCUUGCACAUGUUCACUUUUCUCUUUGAUGACAUUGGUGUUCCUUUGAACUACCGUCACAUGGAUGGCUCUGGUGUCCAUACUUUCACGCUCAUCAGCAGGGAAGGGAAAGCUACCUACGUUAAGUUCCACUGGAGACCUACAUGUGGAGUCAAGAGUUUGCUGGAGGAAGAGGCUGUGAUUGUAGGAGGCAAUAACCACAGCCAUGCCACCCAGGAUCUCUAUGACUCCAUCGCUGCUGGGAACUAUCCAGAGUGGAAGCUAUUCAUCCAGACCAUGGACCCUGAUCACGAGGAUAGGUUCGAUUUUGACCCACUUGAUGUCACCAAGACAUGGCCGGAAGACAUCUUUCCUCUUCAGCCGGUUGGGCGCAUGGUCCUGAAUAAGAAC
RNAcentral lists this long non-coding RNA (413 nucleotides) under Musa acuminata (dwarf banana). Its description in RNAcentral is "long non-coding RNA (MACU_LNC002611)". Lineage: Eukaryota; Viridiplantae; Streptophyta; Magnoliopsida; Zingiberales; Musaceae. The record is from RNAcentral.